AUACGGAGGAUCCGAGCGUUAUCCGGAUUUAUUGGGUUUAAAGGGUGCGCAGGCGGCCAUUUAAGUCAGCGGUUAAAUCGUGGGGCUCAACCCCAUUCUGCCGUUGAUACUGGGUGGCUUGAUUGCGGUCGAGGUUGGCGGAAUUCGUUGUGUAGCGGUGAAAUGCAUAGAUAUUACACAGAACGCCGAUUGUGAAGACACCUCACGAAGCGGUAACUGACGCUGAGGCACGAAAGCGUGGGGAUCGAACAGGAUUAGAUACCCUGGUAGUCCACGCAGUAAACGAUGAUGACUAACCGUCGGCGAUAGACCGCCGGUGGCCAAGCGAAAGCGAUAAGUCAUCCACCUGGGGAGUACGACCGCAAGGUUGAAACUCAAAUGAAUUGACGGGG
RNAcentral lists this ribosomal RNA (392 nucleotides) under uncultured bacterium. RNAcentral describes it as "partial 16S ribosomal RNA". It matches the Rfam family "Bacterial small subunit ribosomal RNA", at positions 523 to 918 of the family's 1533-position model. The record is from RNAcentral.